This 416-nucleotide ribosomal RNA is filed under the name uncultured bacterium. RNAcentral's name for it is "bacterial SSU rRNA". It matches the Rfam family "Bacterial small subunit ribosomal RNA", at positions 28 to 404 of the family's 1533-position model. The record is from RNAcentral.
GAUGAACGCUGGCGGCGUGCCUAAUACAUGCAAGUCGAACGCAUUGUGGUUGAAAUGAUAUGAAGAACUUGUUCAGAUUUAAUUUUCAACAUUGCAAUGAGUGGCGAACGGGUGAGUAACACGUGGGAAACCUACCUCUUAGCAGGGGAUAACAUUUGGAAACAAAUGCUAAUAUCGUAUAAUAAUUAAAACCGCAUGGUUUUAGUUUAAAAGAUGGUCUUGCUAUCACUAAGAGAUGGUCCCGCGGUGUAUUAGUUAGUUGGUGAGGUAAUGGCUCACCAAGACAAUGAUACAUAGCCGAGUUGAGAGACUGACCGGCCACAAUGGGACUGAGACACGGCCCCAUACUCCUACGGGAGGCAGCAGUAGGGAAUCUUCCACAAUGGACGAAAGUCUGAUGGAGCAACGCCGCGUGU